Long non-coding RNA from Daktulosphaira vitifoliae (grape phylloxera), 583 nucleotides. RefSeq lists it as uncharacterized. NCBI's taxonomy places the organism in Eukaryota, Metazoa, Arthropoda, Insecta, Hemiptera, Phylloxeridae. The record is from RefSeq and is a predicted model, not a curated record. The transcript is spliced from 2 exons.
AGAUGCAUAAAAAUAAUUGUAUUUAGUUAACUGAGUAAGUUAGAUUUUACCAUUAAAACUGUUGUAAUGCAUCAACAAUAUAGGUAGCAUUUAAUGGCCAAUUUAAGUAAUCUUAUGCAUACAAAAGUGAAUUAAUAAAAAAUUGUACAUUUGUGGUUUCUGAUUAAACAAACAAGCCAUGUCCAAAAAGUUAGUAUACCGCAUAAAAAUUACCUCUCGUGUUAUAUAAUUAAUAUUUACAAUUAUGUUGUUGACUGUAGGAAGAAACUUUCAUCGAAUGAAUGAUCUUCAGAAUUAUCAACUUUGUUAUGGGAAAAUACUUACAUGCAUGAAAUUUAUAUUUAAUGUUUAUAUUUAUAUUUUUAUUGAAUUAUUCAAUCAUUUCCAUACAUUGAUGAGUAAACCUUCUUUUUUCUUUCAAUGACAAACCAAAUGGACAAUAAAAUAUCCUGGAAUAUGAUUUUUAUGAUUAUAAAAUUUAAUCGAAAUCCUAAUAUAAACAGACUGAACGUACGUCAAAGACGAACUUGUAGAUUUUAAUGUUGUUUUUUAGACUAUGAAAAAUAAAAUUAUUUACAUAUUG